Non-coding RNA from Lactuca sativa (garden lettuce), 2718 nucleotides. NCBI's taxonomy places the organism in Eukaryota, Viridiplantae, Streptophyta, Magnoliopsida, Asterales, Asteraceae. The record is from RefSeq and is a predicted model, not a curated record.
AAAGAGACGGUGCUCUAGCUCCACUACUAGAAACAUGACUUUCAGCGAUGGAAUUAGAGACGGAAUCUAUCUGUAGCAAAUCAGAGACGGAUUAUUGAGGGAACAGCGACCGAACUCACAAAUAUUUCGAACAAAAUACUUAUAGAAUUUCAGAGAGGUAUUAGCGAUGGAUCAAUGACAGAUUUGUAAGGAUUUAUUGACAAAAAAAUGUUUGCUCGCUAAUCCGUCGCAAAUUAAAACAUCCUAACGAGAGAACAACGACGGAUUACUAAAAUCACACACCUUUUUUUUGGCCUUCGCCAAUCUCUCGCAGAAAAUGGGCAACUCCUGUUUUUCAUUCCCCGCUUUUCUUUGUUUUUCCGUUCCCUCCUUUUAUUUCCAUUCCUGCUUCUCUUUUUUUUUUUUUUCAAUCCCCCAUUUUAUUUUAAUUCCCUCUACCUUUUUCCCAAAGCUCUGAACAAUUUCAUCCCAAAUCCCUAAUCGAAUCUCUGUCCACUGAAAUCCCUCCUCUGCCCAGAAAAUCACCUCCACCACCGUCCACUUGCAUCGUCCCCUGUUGACCCACUUUUUCCCCUGCCAACGCCAUUCCUUUAUCCUCGAUCGUAAACACGAGAAAAUCUCAAGUAGUCUUCAUCAGCUCCUAAUUUUGGUUUCUACUGGUGUAUAAGAGGCUUCUAAACAUGUAAGGAUCAAAUUCAAACCACUACAAUUACAAUUUAUUAUUAUUUUUUCUUUUUAUUAUUGUAAGCUCCCAGGUCAAAAUAUUUUCGGUAUAUUUUAGUAAUCGUGUCUCUGAUUGCUUGAAUUUCGAACUUGUGAGAUUGCCAGAGGUUUUAUGUGAUAAUUUUCGGUAUUAGAUUAGACGUUAUUGGAAAAGUUGAGACUGUUUUGUCUAGUUAUUUUCCUUUUCAAGUUUUUUGUAAAUCUAAAUGAGACGCCUGUUUUAUUACUGUUGUCCAGAGCUUCUUUCUAGCCAUGACGAAGAUUGUCGGGACCUUGGGCCCGAAAUCGCGAGCUGUUGAAAUCAUUUCGAGCUGCCUUCAAGUUGUUGCACGGUUUGAUUUUCAAUAAGGUGACAUUGAAUUUCAUCAAGAGACAUUGGAAAAUCUUAAAAUGGCUAUCAAGAGCUUGAAAAAACUACGUGUUGUCUUCUUUGUUUUCAUGCUUUCUGAUACUUCAAACUACGAUUCCCAUAUGAAGAUAGGACUUCUGUUUUCAGAAGGACAGUGUGAUUAAAAAUAGUGAUGGGAUAUGAAACAAAUAGAUUUUCUCUUACAUCACUACUAGAGGAAGGACGGAAAUGGGACAUCUGGUGGAAGGUAUGCGAUCUCUUCAGUGAAUCAAUAUAAUCAAUCACAAUUCAGGUCAGUGGUUUCCAUUAAUUGGAAAUUUUGGAUGUCUGCAAAAAACUUCAGGUCAGUGCAUCACAAUUCACAUGCUUGGGAGACUUGUAGUCUGCUUCUUUACACAACUUUUUUUUUUAUUUCACUUCCAUUUUCUCGUAUGCUGAAUCAUUUAUGUUCCGGGUUUAGGCUUAGGUGGAACACAGUCAAAUCCUUCCUUGAUCUAAAGACUACUACCAAGAUUCAUGUAAGUUAUUUCCAAUUUUUUUACCUAAAAAAUAAUUGCAUUUUUGUAAAAAAUGGUUGAGUUGACAAGGAAUGUUUGGGACCAGAAAAGAAACAAUCUUUGUCUAUCAGCACUUACUCCAGACAUAACUAAGAAGGGUAAAACGGUCAUUUUAUUGCAUUUAUAUGAAUUAUGUAUUCCUCUUUUACAUACAAACUGAACUGAAUGAAGAUACCCAAUAUACAAAGAACUUUGAGGCAAUCCACAAUUUCAAGUUCGGGCUAAUACUAGUUUUGUAUCAAUUGAAGAUGUAAUUAAGGUAUUCUUUUCAAAUAUAUCGAAAUUUCUUUCCCAAAAAAUAUAUAUUGACAAUUGUCAGCUUAUGAGCCAUCCUUGAUCUUUUAAGCUAUGUCCAAUGGAUUUUUGGUCAAGAAUCAUUAAAUCAUGUGGAGUUGUUUUUUUUUUUUUUUUUUUUUUUUUUUUUUUUUUUGUUAUUAUGAGGUUUAGUGAUAAGUUUUCCCUUCAUCUUUAGGUAUUUUUGUUCAGGUGGAACUUUCGAUUAGAUGAUUCCCUUAACAACAAGCUGGAAUGAUAAGUUUUCUGAUUUCCCACUUUUGUAUUUUUAUUAGGGGAAUGUUCUCAUUGCUGUUCUUUCAAAUUGCAUGGUUGACAUUGAUUAGAUGAUGCUUCAUCUUUAGGACCUUUUUGUUCAGGUGGAACUUUUGAUGAUGAGUAUAAGGACAUUUCUGUCUUUUUCACUUUUCCAGAUGGGACAAAAAUUGCAAAUUUUGUCAGAUUGACAUCAAUCCAAUUCACACCAAACAAGAGUUCUUGUGGUACAUGUCUUGAUAAAGGUAGUUAUAGGCAAUCAGAGAAGGGCACAAUGAAAGACCUAGAGACCAAGGAAAAGUAAGUGGAACUUGGUUCGCCUAAUUCCAUGGGAUUAAACGUGAAUUGGAAUCCAAUUCCAUUCCGAUCCUUAAUCGGAUGCAAGUUAUCAAGCAAUGUUAAACUUUGAUAUUAAGUGUUUUUGGUAAACUUUUGAUAGUUGAUUUUUUGGUAUUUUAAUGUUAAUGUUUGGUUUUAGAUUGUAAAAUUAUUGGAUGCUUUUGGUAUUUAAAUGUUAAUGUUUGGUUUAUGUUUGUAUAA